Molecule: non-coding RNA, 122 nt
Organism: Picea glauca (white spruce)
Lineage: Eukaryota; Viridiplantae; Streptophyta; Pinopsida; Pinales; Pinaceae
Source: Rfam
GUAUGUACAUGUCUACAACAUUAAUGCACAGGAUCCCAUUAAAACUCUACGAUUAAGUAUUCUUGGGCUAGAGUAGUAUUGGGAUGGGUGAUCACCCAAGAAGUCCUAGUGUUUUACAUGCC